RNAcentral lists this ribosomal RNA (253 nucleotides) under uncultured bacterium. RNAcentral's name for it is "partial 16S ribosomal RNA". It matches the Rfam family "Bacterial small subunit ribosomal RNA", at positions 524 to 776 of the family's 1533-position model. The record is from RNAcentral.
UACGUAGGUGGCAAGCGUUGUCCGGAUUUACUGGGCGUAAAGAGCGCGCAGGCGGUCGUUUAAGUCGAAUGUGAAAGCCCCCGGCUCAACUGGGGAGGGUCAUUCGAUACUGAUCGACUUGAAGGCAGGAGAGGGUAGUGGAAUUCCCGGUGUAGUGGUGAAAUGCGUAGAUAUCGGGGGGAACACCAGUGGCGAAGGCGACUACCUGGCCUGUUCUUGACGCUGAGGCGCGAAAGCUGGGGGAGCAAACGGG